CAACCUACCUAUCAGAGGGGAAUAACCCGGCGAAAGUCGGACUAAUACCGCAUAAAACAGGGGCACCGCAUGGUGAUAUUUGUUAAAGAAAUUCNCUGAUAGAUGGGCAUGCGUUCCAUUAGGUAGUUGGUGAGGUAACGGCUCACCAAGCCGACGAUGGAUAGGGGAACUGAGAGGUUGGUCCCCCACACUGGUACUGAGACACGGACCAGACUCCUACGGGAGGCAGCAGUGAGGAAUAUUGGUCAAUGGGCGGGAGCCUGAACCAGCCAAGUCGCGUGAAGGAAGAAGGAUCUAUGGUUCGUAAACUUCUUUUGCAGGGGAAUAAAGUGCAGGACGUGUCCUGUUUUGUAUGUACCCUGAGAAUAAGGAUCGGCUAACUCCGUGCCAGCAGCCGCGGUAAUACGGAGGAUCCGAGCGUUAUCCGGAUUUAUUGGGUUUAAAGGGUGCGUAGGUGGUUUGAUAAGUCAGCGGUGAAAGUUUGCAGCUUAACUGUAAAAAUGCCGUUGAAACUGUCGGACUUGAGUGUAAAUGAGGUAGGCGGAAUGCGUGGUGUAGCGGUGAAAUGCAUAGAUAUCACGAAGAACUCCGAUUG
RNAcentral lists this ribosomal RNA (595 nucleotides) under uncultured Bacteroidota bacterium. Its description in RNAcentral is "bacterial SSU rRNA". It matches the Rfam family "Bacterial small subunit ribosomal RNA", at positions 122 to 715 of the family's 1533-position model. The record is from RNAcentral. Lineage: Bacteria; Pseudomonadati; Bacteroidota.